This 468-nucleotide ribosomal RNA is filed under the name uncultured bacterium. Its description in RNAcentral is "partial 16S ribosomal RNA". It matches the Rfam family "Bacterial small subunit ribosomal RNA", at positions 28 to 507 of the family's 1533-position model. The record is from RNAcentral.
GACGAACGCUGGCGGCGUGCUUAACACAUGCAAGUCGAACGGAAAGGCCCUGCUUUUGUGGGGUGCUCGAGUGGCGAACGGGUGAGUAACACGUGAGUAACCUGCCCUUGACUUUGGGAUAACUUCAGGAAACUGGGGCUAAUACCGGAUAGGAGCUCCUGCUGCAUGGUGGGGGUUGGAAAGUUUCGGCGGUUGGGGAUGGACUCGCGGCUUAUCAGCUUGUUGGUGGGGUAGUGGCUUACCAAGGCUUUGACGGGUAGCCGGCCCGAGAGGGUGACCGGGCAAAAUGGGGAUGGGGAUAGGGCCAGACUCCUACGGGAGGCAGCAGUGGGGAAUAUUGCACAAUGGGCGGAAGCCUGAUGCAGCAACGCCGCGUGCGGGUUGACGGCCUUCGGGUUGUAAACCGCUUUCGCCUGUGACGAAGCGUGAGUGACGGUAAUGGGUAAAGAAGCACCGGCUAACUACGUG